RNAcentral lists this ribosomal RNA (506 nucleotides) under uncultured bacterium. Its description in RNAcentral is "partial 16S ribosomal RNA". It matches the Rfam family "Bacterial small subunit ribosomal RNA", at positions 29 to 523 of the family's 1533-position model. The record is from RNAcentral.
AGUGAACGCUGGCGGUAGGCCUAACACAUGCAAGUCGAACGGCAGCACAGGAGAGCUCGCUCUCUGGGUGGCGAGUGGCGGACGGGUGAGGAAUACAUCGGAAUCUACUCUGUCGUGGGGGAUAACGUAGGGAAACUUACGCUAAUACCGCAUACGACCUACGGGUGAAAGCAGGGGACCUUCGGGCCUUGCGCGAUUGAAUGAGCCGAUGUCGGAUGAGCUAGUUGGCGGGGUAAAGGCCCACCAAGGCGACGAUCCGUAGCUGGGCUGAGAGGAUGAGCCGCCACACUGGAACUGGGACACGGUCCAGACUCCUACGGGAGGCAGCAGUGGGGAGUAUUGGACAAUGGGCGCAAGCCUGAUCCAGCCAUACCGCGUGGGUGAAGAAGGCCUUCGGGUUGUAAACCGCUUUCGUCAGGGAAGAAAUCCUUUGGGUUAAUACCUCGGGGGGAUGACGGUACCUGAAGAAUAAGCACCGGCUAACUACGUGCCAGCCGCCGCCGUAA